GCCACAUCCAGCACCUCCAGGUGGAUCCGGACCAGAGCCAUGACACUUUCCUCCUGGACAAACUCCAAUGGCGUCAGAGGUCCAUGACAUCAGGGUCUCUGUGGAUAUCAUCCCGCUCCCUGUCUUUAAAGUGACCCUGGAGGAAGGGUCAUCAGAGGCCCUGACCAAGGAGGUCAUACAGGUGGAUUCAGGACAUAUUUAUUAUGUCCAUGAUGGAAGUGAUACACUGGCAGAUAACUUCAACAUCAUGGCCAACGACACCGACAUCCAGGAAGCCCAGCCAGCCCUGCACGGUGUUUGUCCAUGUGACGCCUGUCAACGAUGAGGCCCCGGUCAUAACAGCCAACGGGAUAUUACGCUUUCCCCCAUACAGGUGUGGGUGAACUCAGUCGCAGAGAUCUGCGUAGAUGACCUGAGUGUUGAGGACAGUGCCUCUCCUCCUGAGGACCUAGAGUUCAUCGAAACCCCGCCUAGCAACAGACACCGGGCCCUGAAGAGCUCCCCCUUCAGGCACAUCCUGAACUUCACCCAGACACACAUCCUUUGGGGACUGGUGUUUGUGCACAGUGCACGGAGUCAUCAUCGUGGGGGUAACAACCUGACCAGCACCAAACCCAACUUCUUUUAGUUCAUCCUGGAUAAGUUCAGCAUCGCAUACCAGCAUGACGACUCCGAGACGAUCCAAGACUUGUUCACCAUCGAUGCUUGACUAAACCGCAUAGGCCAACCUCCC
Molecule: long non-coding RNA, 733 nt
Filed under: Salmo salar (Atlantic salmon)
Lineage: Eukaryota; Metazoa; Chordata; Actinopteri; Salmoniformes; Salmonidae
Description: lncRNA (ENSSSAG00000095955.1)
Source: RNAcentral